Molecule: unclassified non-coding RNA, 400 nt
Filed under: Hevea brasiliensis (rubber tree)
Lineage: Eukaryota; Viridiplantae; Streptophyta; Magnoliopsida; Malpighiales; Euphorbiaceae
Source: RNAcentral
AGUAGGCUUGCCUUCUUUGUCAAGGAGGGACUUGUCUGGUGCAAGGCUAGAGAACAGGUAUCACGUGGCAAAGACUGAGGUGGAAGCUAGAAUUAGAGACGCUAUGUUCUUUCAAGUUGCUUGUGAUGGCUGGAAGAAAAAGAAUUGUUGUAUUGGAGAAGAGAAUUUGAUUAAGUUUAGCAAUAAUCUUCCAAAUGGGACUAGUUUGUAUCAAAAAGUUGUUUUAACUGGAGGAUCGGUGUCUUCAAAGUAUGCAGAGGAGAUUAUGUGGGAGGCAGUCAUGAGCAUAUGUGGGAGUGCUUUACCGAGGUGUGUGGGGAUAGUUGCAGAUAAGUACAAGGCCAAGGCACUGAGGAAUUUGGAGAUUCAGUAUCAGUGGAUGGUGAAUCUCUCAUGUCAG